Molecule: transfer RNA, 83 nt
Filed under: Enterospora canceri
Lineage: Eukaryota; Fungi; Microsporidia; Enterocytozoonidae
Rfam family: tRNA
About the family: Transfer RNA (tRNA) molecules are approximately 80 nucleotides in length. Their secondary structure includes four short double-helical elements and three loops (D, anti-codon, and T loops).
Source: Rfam by way of RNAcentral
GGCAAUGUGGCUGAGUGGUCUAAAGCGUUUGAUUCGAAACCAAAUGGGUUCAACCCGCACAGGUUCGAAUCCUGUCAUUGUCG